Molecule: long non-coding RNA, 3756 nt
Filed under: Sus scrofa (pig)
Lineage: Eukaryota; Metazoa; Chordata; Mammalia; Artiodactyla; Suidae
Description: lncRNA (ENSSSCG00000057557.1)
Source: RNAcentral
CCUGGCAUCGCUCAGUUGGUUAGGGAUCCAGUGUUGCCAUAAGCUGUGGUGUAGGUCGCAGAUGCAGCUUGGAUCCCGCAUUGCUGUGGCUGUGGUGUAGGCCAGCAGCUGUAGCUCCAAUUUGACUCCUAGCUUGGGAAUCUCCAUAUGGGGCAGGGGCAGCCCUACAAAGCAAAAAAAAAAAAAAAAAAAGUUGUUAGGCUAGUCUGUCAUGUAAUAAGUGCUCAUUAAAUGUUACCUAUUAGUGGAGUUCCUGUCAUGGCUCAGUGGUUAAUGAAUCCAACGAGGAACCAUGAGGUUGCAGGUUUGAUUCCUGGCCUUGCUCAGUGGGUUAAGGAUCCAGUGUUGCUGUGAGCUGUGGUGUAGGUUGCAGACACGGCUUGGAUUCCGAGUUGCUGUGGCUCUGGUGUAGGCCUGUAGCUACAGCUCCAAUUAGACCCCUAGCCUGGGAACCUCCAUAUGCCACAGAAGUGGCCCUAGAAAUGGCAAAAAGACAAAAAAAGAAAAAAGAAAAAAAAAUUACCUAUUAGCUAUCAUUACUGAUAUUAUCACUAAGAUAUAUUAGUUGCAGCAAGUCAAACCAGAGGUAUAUAAAUAAGUAAAAACAGGUGUUCCUAUUGUGCCUUAGUGGGUUAAGAACCCAACUAGUGUUUCUGAGGAUGUGGGUUCAAUCCCUGGCCUUGCUCAGUGGGUUAAGGAUCUGGUGUUGCCACAGGCUGCAGUGUAGGUUGCAGAUGCAACUCAGAUUGGGCAUUUCUGUGGCUGUGGCUGUGGCUGUGGCAUAGGCUGGCUGUGGAUGUGGUUUAGGCCAGCAGCUGCAGAUCCAGUUUGACCUCUAACCUGGGAACUUCCAUAUGCCACAGGUGUGGCCCUAAAAACAAAAAAAUAAUAAUAAUAAAACUAUCUUUUAAUCCACUUCCAUUCCAAAGAUUAAAUUCAUUAAUAAUAACUGGUGAGUCCUUUCUCACUUUUAUCUGGCUGAUACAAAUUUAUAUACGUAAUGUUUACAAGUAUGAUAUUUUUUUUCUUUUUUGGCCACCCUGAGGCAUAUGGAGUUCCCAGGCCAGGGAUCAGAUAUGAGCCACAGAUGGAUCUUUAACCCACUGCGCUGGGUCAGGGAAGGAACCUGUGUCCAAGCAUUGCAGAGAUGCUGUCAAUCCCGUUGUGCUGCAGCGGGAACUCCAGUGUAUGAUUUUUUUUUUUAGUGUAAAAUUUUGCACAUACACACACAUACUUGAACAUGGGAGGUGUAUAUAUGCAAACUCGUCUUUUUUUUUAAUUAAUAUAUAAUGGUCAUAUCUCCAGGUCAAAAAAUAUAAAUCAAAAUCACUAUUUUCAUGGAAUUUACUACUCCAUGGUAUGACUAUAUUUUAUUCAGUAAAAUUACCCCUACUAAUAGUCACUCAAGUUUUUACCCUACCAUGAAUAAUAUACAAUAAACUUACUUGUACUGUUACUUGCAGAUAUAUUCUUUUAUGUUAGUAUCUUUAUUUUAGUAGAAAGAUUUCCAACAGUGGGAUUGCUGACCCUAAGUAGAUGCAUAUUUAGAAUUUUAAUAGAUAUAGCAAUAUUACUGUUCAAAGAAGUCAUUUUUUUUUCACAUAUUCACUUGGUAAGUAUAAGAGUGCUCAUUUCCCUAUAAUUUCACCAGCAUUGAUUAUUCCUGGCAUGGUAAAUUAUCGCAGAUAUGAUGGCUAAAGAGUGUAUUUACCUGACUGCUAUCUUGAGCUUCUUUGCAUUUGUUCAGUGGCCAUGUGAUUUCUACUGCAGCAAAUUCUCCAUUCCCACCCUUGCCUCUAAUCUCCUACAGUAUUAUUUGUCACUCGUAUCAAUCUAGGAUCUCAAUGCAUAUGAUAAUAUUAAGUCUUUGUUUGUCAUUUGUAUUGCUUAUAUAUUUUUUCCAGUCUAUUAUCUUUGGUAUUUUUCCGUGUAUUCUGUAUAAUAUACUUUGAUCUCUAUUUCAGAAAGGAUAGUAUCAACCCAAAUGAAUGCUUUUCAUAGUUCAUUAAAAUAUGGUUAAAUACAGGAAUAAAGUACCUUUCAUACUAUAUAAGUAGAAUUGUUUUCUCCAUUAGAAUAGGAGAGGAUUAUUGUCUCCCCACCCACCUCCACCAAUCUAGAGCCCCCCUCCCCUUUCCCUUAUACAUGUAAUCCUAAAUGCCUAGAAAAGUGCCUGAACCAUGAAAAGCAUUCAAUACAUAUUUAUUGAGUUUUCAAUUUUAACGUUUUAAUAUGUAAUCUAUACACAUAAAGUUACACUGUCACAGCAAAAUGUCUGGAAUAAUUUUUUAAUCAAAUUUGGAAGAUAUUUGAAAUGUUCUGAAUUAAAACACAGAGUAACACAUUCGCCAGGAGGGAUGCUAGGUGGAUUCAGUUCUGUUGUGCCACAAUGGGAACUCCCAAGAAGAUUAGAAAAUUUGAUCUUAAAGCUUCAAAAAAAAGGGUGCCAAUAAAAAUCUAUAAAUUUAUUGUUUCAAAUGGUCCCAAAGUCUCUCUUGGAUAUUUAAAGCAUUCACACUAACACCCUUAAGAUAACUAAAUAAAUUAACUCGAAAACAGAUAUCUAAGAAUUUCUAUCAAUGCCAAAGCUUUUAGUUUUUAUUUAUUAUUUUUCUUUCUUUUUUAGGGGUGCACCUGUGGCCUGUGGAAGACUCCAGGCUAGGAGUCGAAUUGGAGCUGCAUCUGGCAGCCUACACCAUAGCCACAGCAAUACAGGAUCUGAGCUGCAUCUGCGGUCUACACCACAGCUCACAGCAACACAAGAUCCUUAGCCCACUGAGAAGGGCCAUGGAUCAACCCACAACCUCAUGGAUACUAGUUGUAUUUGUUACCACUGAGCUAUAAGGGGAACUCCAAAUUUUAGUUUUUUGAUUUUAGUUUCAGUCCUUUCUAAUACUAGCAGCAAUUACCUACUGAGGCUACUCUGUUUUGUGAUAACAACAAAUCUUGAGUCUAAGCAUAUUAGCCAAACAGGGCUCAGGGGAACAAAUAGCAAUUUAUUUAAGAAUAAAUUCAAAGUUUAAAAAUAUGGCAUAAACCAAAUUCUUGGAUUGGAAGAAUUAAUAUUGUUAAAAUGGCCAUACUACCCAAGGCAAUCUAUAGGUUCAAGGCAAUUGUUAUCAAAAUACCAAGGAUAUUUUUCAUUGAACUAGAACAAAUAAUUUUAAAAUUUGUGUGGAAACACAAAAGGCACCAAUAGCCAAAACAAUCUUGAGAGAGAACAGAACUAGAAGAAUCACACUCCCUAACUUCAGGCUAUACUACAAAGCUACAGUAAUCAAAACAAUAUAGUGCUGGUGCAGAAACAGACACAAAGAAGAAUGGAACAAGGCAGAGAGCCCAAAAAUAAGCCCACACACCUAUGGCCAAUUAAACUAUGACAAAGGAGUCAAGAAAAUACAAUGGAGAAAAGAUAGUCUCUGUAAUAAGCAGUGCUGAGAAAACUGGACAGCUACAUGUGGAAACAAUUAGAUUAGACAUUCUCUAACACUCUUCACAAAAUAAGCUCAAAAUGGAUUAAAGACCUAAAUGGAAGACAGGACACUGUAAAGCUUCUAGAGGAAAACAGGCAGAAUGCUCUGUGACAUGUAUCGCAGCACUAUUUUUUAGAUCUGUCGCCUAAAGUAAAUAAAAGCAAAAAUAAACAAAUAGGAUGUAGUUAAAAGCUUUUGCACAACAAAGGAAAACAUAAAGAAAAUGAAAAGACAAACUACCGAAUGGAAGAAAAUAUUUGCAAAUGAUGACCAAUAAGGGCUU